RNAcentral lists this ribosomal RNA (330 nucleotides) under uncultured Methanosarcina sp. RNAcentral's name for it is "bacterial SSU rRNA". It matches the Rfam family "Archaeal small subunit ribosomal RNA", at positions 551 to 879 of the family's 1478-position model. The record is from RNAcentral. Lineage: Archaea; Methanobacteriati; Methanobacteriota; Methanomicrobia; Methanosarcinales; Methanosarcinaceae.
CUGAUAUCUCAACUAUUAGGCUAUCGGGGGAUACUGCCAGGCUUGGAACCGGGAGAGGUAAGAGGUACUACAGGGGUAGGAAGUGAAAUCUUGUAAUCCCUGUGGGACCACCUGUGGCGGAAGGCGUCUUACCAGAACGGGUUCGACGGUGAGGGACGAAAGCUGGGGGCACGAACCGGAUUAGAUACCCGGGUAGUCCCAGCCGUAAACGAUGCUCGCUAGGUGUCAGGCAUGGCGCGACCGUGUCUGGUGCCGCAGGGAAGCCGUGAAGCGAGCCACCUGGGAAGUACGGCCGCAAGGCUGAAACUUAAAGGAAUUGCGGGGGAGCAC